RNAcentral lists this long non-coding RNA (674 nucleotides) under Eutrema salsugineum. RNAcentral's name for it is "long non-coding RNA (ESAL_LNC001204)". The record is from RNAcentral. Lineage: Eukaryota; Viridiplantae; Streptophyta; Magnoliopsida; Brassicales; Brassicaceae.
CUUUGAAUUCUUUGUUUCAUCAUUGGCUAUCAGGCAUCGUAUUUAUCCUCGUGGAUACAUCCACACUGAAAUAUAUAGACACGUCCAUAGCUAAUAAAACUAGUGACUCUUUGGCGUAGAUAUGUCCACACUUAUACAUUCACGCUGAUACGUCCACACUGAAAUAUGUACACACUGCCUAUACAUCCACGCUGAUACGUCCACACAAAAAUAUGUAUACACAUCUUGGAUGCUGUUAAUGUCAGCAUGCGAGAAAUAAAAUACGAAACUCCAAAUAGAAAUCACUCCACCUAUCCCAAAUGGAAAUCUUGUUGCCUUGUCCAUACUCAUUAAUUGUUCCCUCUAACAAACUAUUAAUCUCCCACAACAAAAAAUCAUUACUAUGUAAUCACCCUAAUAUGGAAAGAGAGCAAAACCUAACCACCAUGGCUCCAACUGAAACUGACUCCAACGACCGAGAAUCUGAGAGAGAGAGAGAGAGAGAAGGAGAGAAAGAGAGAAGGAGAGAAGAUAUUAUGAAAUGAAUCUGAGAGAGAGAGAAGGAGAGAAAGAGAGAAGGAGAGAAGAUAUUAUGAAAUGGAUCUGAGAGAGAGAAAGAGAGAAAGAGAGAAAGAGAGAGAAGGAGAGAAGAAGAAAAGGAGAGAUAACUUGUUUUUUACAUCGGUGUGAUUGAG